CUAACUACGUGCCAGCAGCCGCGGUAAUACGUAGGGGGCUAGCGUUAUCCGGCUUUACGGGGCGUAAAGGGGGGGGAGGCGGUCUUUCAAGGCAGGAGGGAAAGGCUACGGCGCAACCGUAGUAAGCGCUGGAAACUGGGGGACGUGGGUGCAGGGGAGGAGAGUGGAAUGCCUAGUGUAGCGGGGAAAUGCGUGGAUAUUAGGAGGAACACCAGUUGCGAAGGCGGCUCUCUGGACUGUAACUGACGCGGAGGCACGAAAGCGUGGGGAGCAAACAGGAUUAGAUACCCUGGUAGUCCACGCUGUAAACGAUGAGUACUAGGUGUCGGGGGUUACCCCCUUCGGUGCCGCAGCUAACGCAUUAAGUACUCCGCCUG
Molecule: ribosomal RNA, 377 nt
Filed under: Clostridioides difficile
Lineage: Bacteria; Bacillati; Bacillota; Clostridia; Peptostreptococcales; Peptostreptococcaceae
Description: partial 16S ribosomal RNA
Rfam family: Bacterial small subunit ribosomal RNA
Source: RNAcentral